UUCAAAAAAGCUAAACAAGAAAG
This 23-nucleotide small nuclear RNA is filed under the name Arabidopsis thaliana (thale cress). RNAcentral describes it as "snRNA_00716". The record is from RNAcentral. Lineage: Eukaryota; Viridiplantae; Streptophyta; Magnoliopsida; Brassicales; Brassicaceae.